This 253-nucleotide ribosomal RNA is filed under the name uncultured bacterium. RNAcentral's name for it is "partial 16S ribosomal RNA". It matches the Rfam family "Bacterial small subunit ribosomal RNA", at positions 524 to 776 of the family's 1533-position model. The record is from RNAcentral.
UACAGAGGGGGCAAGCGUUAUUCGGAAUUAUUGGGCGUAAAGGGCGCGUAGGCGGCAUGGCAAGUGGAAGGUGAAAUCCCUCGGCUUAACCGGGGAACUGCCUUCCAAACUGUUUUGCUUGAGUCCGGGAGAGGUCAGUGGAAUUCCCAGUGUAGCGGUGAAAUGCGUAGAUAUUGGGAGGAACACCAGUGGCGAAGGCGACUGACUGGACCGGUACUGACGCUGAGGCGCGAAAGCGUGGGGAGCAAACGGG